UACGUAGGGUGCGAGCGUUGUCCGGAAUUAUUGGGCGUAAAGAGCUUGUAGGUGGUUUGUCGCGUCUGCUGUGAAAAUCCGGGGCUCAACCCCGGACUUGCAGUGGGUACGGGCAGACUAGAGUGUGGUAGGGGAGACUGGAAUUCCUGGUGUAGCGGUGGAAUGCGCAGAUAUCAGGAGGAACACCAAUAGCGAAGGCAGCUCGCUGGGACGUCACUGACACUGAGGCGCGAAAGCGUGGGGAGCGAACAGG
RNAcentral lists this ribosomal RNA (253 nucleotides) under uncultured bacterium. RNAcentral's name for it is "partial 16S ribosomal RNA". It matches the Rfam family "Bacterial small subunit ribosomal RNA", at positions 524 to 776 of the family's 1533-position model. The record is from RNAcentral.